AGUGAACGCUGGCGGUAGGCCUAACACAUGCAAGUCGAACGGCAGCACAGUAAGAGCUUGCUCUUACGGGUGGCGAGUGGCGGACGGGUGAGGAAUACAUCGGAAUCUACUUUUUCGUGGGGGAUAACGUAGGGAAACUUACGCUAAUACCGCAUACGACCUACGGGUGAAAGCAGGGGAUCCUCGGACCUUGCGCGAUUGAAUGAGCCGAUGUCGGAUUAGCUAGUUGGCGGGGUAAAGGCCCACCAAGGCGACGAUCCGUAGCUGGUCUGAGAGGAUGAUCAGCCACACUGGAACUGAGACACGGUCCAGACCCCUACGGGAGGCAGCAGUGGGGAAUAUUGGACAAUGGGCGCAAGCCUGAUCCAGCCAUACCGCGUGGGUGAAGAAGGCCUUCGGGUUGUAAAGCCCUUUUGUUGGGAAAGAAAAGCAGCAGGUUAAUACCCCGCUGUUCUGACGGUACCCAAAGAAUAAGCACCGGCUAACUUCGUG
RNAcentral lists this ribosomal RNA (492 nucleotides) under uncultured bacterium. RNAcentral's name for it is "partial 16S ribosomal RNA". It matches the Rfam family "Bacterial small subunit ribosomal RNA", at positions 29 to 507 of the family's 1533-position model. The record is from RNAcentral.